UGGUCCUGUGUGCAAUAUCUUUGCCUG
This 27-nucleotide non-coding RNA is filed under the name Mus musculus (house mouse). The record is from RNAcentral. Lineage: Eukaryota; Metazoa; Chordata; Mammalia; Rodentia; Muridae.